GAGCCGGGAGGAGGCCCGCCGCAGGAAAAAGACGGAGGGCGGCGCACGCAGCACCUCGGCGCGCGGGUGGCGCUCCCAGGGCGCCCGGGCGGCCGGGGCUGCGGCGGAAGGGGAGUAGGGGGGGCGCAACCAAGACCCCCGCACCGCACCUCAUCCGAAAGUUAAAGCGCCCGCCUGGAGCGGAGAGGAGAAGCCCACCUCCCCGAAGAUUACUACAAAGCGCUUUUGUGUUCACCAAGUACAGCGCCUGGCCAUAGCAGAUGUUGAAAGCAUGAAUGUCUCUGUGUCUGCAGGAGCAGAGCUUCAGGUAGGGACCUGCCUGCUGAAGAGGACCCACAAAGAGAAGACCCCACAAGCCUCAUUAUUUGAAUCCAUGGGUCUUAUUCCUAGUUGCCUGUUGGAAUCCCUAAAUAUCACAAAAUAAACCCUAGAGGCUCCCUCAAAUAUUCUAACUCAACUGGCCUGAUUUAAGAGUCAUGCUAUUCUAAAGGUUUACCAUCCUUUUUGUUAGUCUGACUCCCAAAAAGACACUAACAAAUGAUGUUUUCAAAGCCAACUGGUUCCUGUGUAGGAAACUACUUCCCAGGCCCUCCUGUUGGUGCCACUCCCAAAUGCCGUGUGACACAACUACUUUUAAAAGUCGUCUUUAUGGGCCUACAUAAAGGAAGAAGGAACAAAAGGAAUGU
Lutra lutra (Eurasian river otter) is the source of this 686-nucleotide long non-coding RNA. RefSeq lists it as uncharacterized. NCBI's taxonomy places the organism in Eukaryota, Metazoa, Chordata, Mammalia, Carnivora, Mustelidae. The record is from RefSeq and is a predicted model, not a curated record. The transcript has 3 exons.